AACGAACGCUAGCGGCGUGCCUAACACAUGCAAGUCGAGCGAGAAAAGACUUCGGUCGUAAGUAAAGCGGCGCACGGGUGAGUAACACGUGGGUAACGUACCCUCGGGUGGGGGAUAACAGACCGAAAGGUUUGGCUAAUACCGCAUCAGACCACAGUCCUCGCGGGGACAGGGGUCAAAAGGGGGCUGUCGCAAGGCAGCUCUCGCCUGAGGAUCGGCCCGCGGACCAUUAGCUAGUUGGUAGGGUAACGGCCUACCAAGGCUACGAUGGUUAGCUGGUCUGAGAGGACGAUCAGCCACACUGGGACUGGAACACGGCCCAGACUCCUACGGGAGGCAGCAGUGGGGAAUAUUGCGGCAAUGGGCGAAAGCCUGACGCAGCAACGCCG
This 389-nucleotide ribosomal RNA is filed under the name uncultured bacterium. RNAcentral's name for it is "bacterial SSU rRNA". It matches the Rfam family "Bacterial small subunit ribosomal RNA", at positions 29 to 399 of the family's 1533-position model. The record is from RNAcentral.